Molecule: long non-coding RNA, 956 nt
Filed under: Fukomys damarensis (Damara mole-rat)
Lineage: Eukaryota; Metazoa; Chordata; Mammalia; Rodentia; Bathyergidae
Description: lncRNA (ENSFDAG00000033035.1)
Source: RNAcentral
GGUGGAUCUGUGGGCAGCAAACUGGCUGUCACUUUAGUCGGGCUGCCUUUCUCACUCUGGGAGCACACAGAGCACUACCUUCCUCUUUCUGGAUGGCCACAUCCAGCCAUUCGCAGAAAAUUCAGUCCGUUUUCCUAUUUGGCCAAAUCAUGGAACACAGGCCUGCCACAGGAUGCUGCUAGCAAGAGCUUCCUUGGUCAUGUGGAGAUGUGGGGCACAUCCUGGCAGGGUGCAUCAGCUUUCUAUGUGGCCUGUGGAGCCCAUGGGGCGCUCAGAUUCUGUUCCGCAGGAGGAUGGGCCUGACCCGCAGGCAGCCACCGGCUGGUGAUGUCAGUGGUGGACUCCAGACACACUGGAAGGCCCUGGGGGACUUGGCUGAUGACAGCGAGAGCUACUGUGUGCUGAGCCGCUUCUCUGUGCGACGCAGAACGCAGAGGGGAUCCUCAGGUAUGUUACAUCUGCUCCUUCUCACAGCCAGCUCAGCAGUGUGAUUGUCCACAGAUUGUUAAGGGAGGAACUGUGACUAGGUUUGUACCAAUUGCUUUAGCAAACUCACAAACUAGGGGACUGGCAGGGCUAGGAUUUGGACCCAAAUUUGCACCCCCCCCAAUCCUCCAUGAAAUAUUCACAUGUUAGAACCUACUAAGGAUCCUGAAUUUCUCAGCCUGCCUUUUCUUCUCUGUACAAAUGGGAAGAUAGUACUUGUGCUAUUUAUUUUCCUGCGAUAACACAGAAAACAACUGAAACAAUACUUGAGAAAACGCUUUGUAAGAUUAUUAAUGCUACAAAGAUAGGACCAAAACAGACAAAUAAAAACAGACUGAGCACCCAUAAUCUCCGAAGCACAAUUUCUGAGCAUGGGGAAUCUGGAAUCUUCAUGGCUGACCGGGGUAGUUAGGUUGAAAGGGAGAUAAACCUGGCAACUAAACUUAAUGUCUUCUUCUACAUGUAGCCCU